CACGAAACAUGAAUUUGAAAAUAAUUAAAUGUAUUUUUAACAUUACUGAAAAGGAUCGUCAGAAUAAAAAUGAAAUAAAUAAGUAGUCAGAAUAUGGGUUGAUUCCAAAUGUAUUGCUAUAAUCCAUUAGUUUAGAAAAGCAUGGAUCUACGAGGCAAGCCAAAAAGGACACAGAUGGUGGCUAAAGUUGGGCAGUUGGUGCCAAACUUCUUCUUUGUCUUUAUCCAUAAACACAAAAUAGAAAGUGCAGACUCCCAGUAGGCAGCAGUCUGCCACCUACUGGCAGAGUGAACACCAUACUUGUGUAACGGAGUUUAAAAGACAUCUGAAAAACAUGCACUUACCUGGUCUUAAUUAUUAUUUUAAGUGUGAAUUUUAUCAUUUUUUGUUGUAUUUUAUUUUGAAAACCCAGAAACCGGAUCUCACUCUAGCGUUUGGAAGCUGCUAAGGCUUCCGCUCCUCACAGCGCGCGUUUGCACUGUGAGGGUAAGUUCUGUAAUGAAAGGCUCUGGCAUUUUUAUGGUUUCUGGUGUGAAUGUUGUUACAUAAGUUGUACAUGUCGAUGUAUAUAGGUUUAUAUUGAUGUUAGGAUGUUACUGUGUAACCGAAACAAAGGCUGGUUGCUGUUAAACAGUGUUUCUGCCGUAUUUAUGCUCUUUGGCAGUAAGCUUUUGUCGGCCCCCUAGUGGUUGCUGCGCAUAGCAGUAAAUGUGUUUGGAUUUACUGUUUUUCUGUGCUUUUUGUGAUGUUGUUUUACAUUGUAGGAGCUACAAUUGCUGGUACCACCAGAAGACACAUGUUAAGUGUUUUCUAUGUCUUCUGCAGGAAUAAACCGUGAACAGCCAACCUUUCUGAGUGUCUGUGGUUCAUGAAGAACGGAAGCGUUACACUUGGUGAUGCUCUUAAUGCAAUAGAAAAUGAGACCCAUUCUCGGUGGGUGCCCUUUGUCAUUCUGUUCAU
This 960-nucleotide long non-coding RNA is filed under the name Oreochromis niloticus (Nile tilapia). RNAcentral's name for it is "lncRNA (ENSONIG00000028899.1)". Lineage: Eukaryota; Metazoa; Chordata; Actinopteri; Cichliformes; Cichlidae. The record is from RNAcentral.